GACGAACGCUGGCGGCGUGCUUAACACAUGCAAGUCGAACGGAAAGGCCCCCAUCUUGGUGGGGGUGCUCGAGUGGCGAACGGGUGAGUAACACGUGGGUGAUCUGCCCUGUACUUCGGGAUAAGCUUGGGAAACUGGGUCUAAUACCGGAUAGGACCAUGGUUUAGUGUCUCAUGGUGGAAAGAUUAUUGUUUUGGUGCAGGAUGAGCUCGCGGCCUAUCAGCUUGUUGGUGGGGUAAUGGCCUACCAAGGCGUCGACGGGUAGCCGGCCUGAGAGGGUGGACGGCCACAUUGGGACUGAGAUACGGCCCAGACUCCUACGGGAGGCAGCAGUGGGGAAUAUUGCACAAUGGGCGCAAGCCUGAUGCAGCGACGCCGCGUGGGGGAUGACGGCCUUCGGGUUGUAAACUCCUUUCGUGAGGGACGAAGCCGCACUUUUUUUGGGUGUGGUGACGGUACCUUUGUUAAGAAGCACCGGCUAACUACGUG
Molecule: ribosomal RNA, 489 nt
Filed under: uncultured bacterium
Lineage: Bacteria
Description: partial 16S ribosomal RNA
Rfam family: Bacterial small subunit ribosomal RNA
Source: RNAcentral